AUAAUUUAUCCCAGGUUCUCCCCCAUGUUCGUGUUUUUUUCUCUCUGUUUGUUUUACCCAGUCAGAUCAUACUCAGGAUCCAGGAGCCCUCCCAAUCAGUACACAAUCAGCACACGUCGUAGUAAGUGAUAUUUCACGCAAUCAGCCUAAACAAACCGCUCAACUAGAAUUAGAAUAAUUCUGUCCGCAUGUUAUAUUCAGGUUUAGUAGUAUUAAUUAGAAUUAAAGUAGAAUA
Molecule: unclassified non-coding RNA, 235 nt
Filed under: Hevea brasiliensis (rubber tree)
Lineage: Eukaryota; Viridiplantae; Streptophyta; Magnoliopsida; Malpighiales; Euphorbiaceae
Source: RNAcentral